This 497-nucleotide ribosomal RNA is filed under the name uncultured bacterium. RNAcentral's name for it is "partial 16S ribosomal RNA". It matches the Rfam family "Bacterial small subunit ribosomal RNA", at positions 28 to 507 of the family's 1533-position model. The record is from RNAcentral.
GAUGAACGCUGGCGGCGUGCCUAAUACAUGCAAGUCGAGCGGACAGACGAGGAGCUUGCUCCUCUGACGUUAGCGGCGGACGGGUGAGUAACACGUGGAUAACCUACCUAUAAGACUGGGAUAACUUCGGGAAACCGGAGCUAAUACCGGAUAAUAUAUUGAACCGCAUGGUUCAAUAGUGAAAGACGGUUUUGCUGUCACUUAUAGAUGGAUCCGCGCCGCAUUAGCUAGUUGGUAAGGUAACGGCUUACCAAGGCAACGAUGCGUAGCCGACCGGAGAGGGUGAUCGGCCACACGGGAACUGAGACACGGUCCAGACUCCUACGGGAGGCAGCAGUAGGGAAUCUUCCGCAAUGGGCGAAAGCCUGACGGAGCAACGCCGCGUGAGUGAUGAAGGUCUUCGGAUCGUAAAACUCUGUUAUUAGGGAAGAACAAAUGUGUAAGUAACUAUGCACGUCUUGACGGUACCUAAUCAGAAAGCCACGGCUAACUACGUG